This 87-nucleotide transfer RNA is filed under the name Thermoplasmata archaeon. RNAcentral's name for it is "tRNA-Ser". It matches the Rfam family "tRNA". Rfam says of the family: Transfer RNA (tRNA) molecules are approximately 80 nucleotides in length. Their secondary structure includes four short double-helical elements and three loops (D, anti-codon, and T loops). Lineage: Archaea; Methanobacteriati; Thermoplasmatota; Thermoplasmata. RNAcentral also lists the same sequence under 1 other name. The record is from RNAcentral.
GCGGGGAUGGCCCAGCCAGGUAGGGCGUCGGCCUGCUAAGCCGAUGGGCUCGCGCCCGCCCGGGUUCAAAUCCCGGUCCCCGCGCCA